UAGCAUGCGCAUGCAGCGUUGUAGCACUGGAUUGUGCAUCCCCAGGGUGGUGCUGAGCCGCGCAGCCUCUGUCAACCAGGCUUCUGUCUUCUCCCAGGCCAUAAGAAGGCUGAACUGCACAGAGAAGAGUUCACAGUCGAACUGACUCACCCACCUCCACCUGGUAGACUUCUGCCCCAGCCGCAAUAUUGGGUCCAUUACAGAAGAUGAUUCGCCAUUUGUUCAUUGAUGUACUUUGAGUCCAGUACAUGGCAGGCACUAACCAACCCUGGACCAGGCCACUCACUUUGUCCCAGCAGACUCCUCUUGUUUGUGGUCAGCAUCGCUGCUUUCAUACUGUACAGGGAUGUCUGUCGCCAAUGCCAAGGGCAGGAGACUAAGGCUAUCCAGCCACUGGGUCUCUU
This is a long non-coding RNA of Peromyscus californicus insignis, 404 nucleotides long. RefSeq lists it as uncharacterized. The record is from RefSeq and is a predicted model, not a curated record. The transcript is spliced from 3 exons. Lineage: Eukaryota; Metazoa; Chordata; Mammalia; Rodentia; Cricetidae.